Gasterosteus aculeatus aculeatus (three-spined stickleback) is the source of this 2104-nucleotide long non-coding RNA. NCBI's taxonomy places the organism in Eukaryota, Metazoa, Chordata, Actinopteri, Perciformes, Gasterosteidae. The record is from Ensembl.
CCGGUUUGCCGGUCGAGGGGAAGUUGUAGAGGAAAAUACGGGACAAGCAGCAUCAUAUGUCCGUGAUGAAAAGCAGCAGUGGCGAUGCACGGGGCAAUAAAGUCGCAUGACAAGGUGAGGUGACAUUGUCAUGAACUGACGCUAUACAAAUAAAGUUGAGUUGUUUUGAAUAAAAAAACUAGACGUCAGCCUAUCAGCCAUCCCGUCACUUGAUUGAUACACAGGACAACCAGUCAGAUGACAUCUGAUUUUUUUCCCCGUAGAAUUAGGUCACUGUGCGUGUUCAAACAACGCCCCUGAGCGCUGCAAAGCUAACAAGCUAGUCGUUAGUUACAUCCUAAUUUUUCGCUCGUUUUUUUCCUCUUAAACGUAAGAUAGGGUAUAAAAAUGAGUGGGGGAGCUGGACCAAGUAAAAAGAAAAAAAACGAUCACUUUCAUACGGAGUGGGAGGAGGACUUUUUUUUCACGAUGACAUUUUCAAAGUGCGUUUGUCUCGUCUGCCAGUCUACCGUCGCAAUACCAAAGAAGGGAAAUGUGGAGCGGCAUUUUCGGACUCUUCAUGGAAAAUACGACACUGAAGUUGUAAGAAUCCUCAAUAUAUUUCUCAAUAAAUAUAAUGGGUAGAUCAUUUUGACUUGGUCAUUUCAAAAGUAGCUCCCAUGCUGAAAAAGUGUGAGCACCCCUGCUCUAGGGAGAACAUCAGAGGAGGGAUCCCACUCCCGGGAUGGACAGACUACAAUGGAUGCCAUGUGUACAGAAUGAACAGUGUAUAAUACAUUCAAUUCCUAUGACAGAAAUGAUUCAAGUAAUUGUGAGUAGUAAGCCAGCAGGACCACUGCAGGGGCAACCACCAUCAGAUAGAACCACCAUCCACAGAAGCCUGUGGGGAGGGAGAGCACAGAGACUAUAGGAGAGGGUAAUGUUGGUUUACGAGUACAGUAAUAUGAUUAAUAUUUCAAAUAAUAAUGAUGAUGAUGGCAGCAGCAGGCGUCAGCAGGGCCACGGCAGGUGUCAGGACCAGGGUCCAGAAGGAACUACGAUCUACGGAGACCUGCUAGGGGAGAAAGCACAAAAAACUCCCGGAAAGAAGCUGAAUUAGUCAUGUGCAUUAAUAAAACGUGAAUUAUUGGAGAACGAGAGGGUGAGAGAGGAGCUCGGUGUGUCCUAAGAAGUCCCCCGGUAGUCUAAGCCUAUAGCAGCUUAACUAAGAGCUGGUCCGGGCUAAUCUGAGCCAGCCCUAACUAUAAGCAAAAUCAAAGAGGAACGUUUUAAGCCUUACUUUAAAAGAGCUGACCAAAUCUGCCCCCCGGACUGAAAGUGGAAGCUGGUUCCACAAAAGAGGAGCUUGAUAACUGAAGGCUCUGGCACCCAUCCUACUUUCUAAAACCAUAGGAACAACAAGUAACCCAGCAUCUAUGGAGCGCAGCUGCCUUGUAGGGCAAUACGGUGUUACAAGCUCUUUAAGAUACGACUGUGCCUCACCAGUAAGUGCCUUGUAGGUGAAGAGAAGUACCUUAAAAUCUGUUCUUGAUUUAACAUGGAGCCAGUGCAGAGAAGUUAAUACAGGAUUAAUAUGAUCCCUUUUCUUAGUUUUUGUUAAUACACGUGAUAACAAAGAAUUAUAGUAAUCCAGUCUGGAAGUGACAAAUGCAUGAACUCAUUUUUCUGCAUCACUUUGAGACAGGAAGUUCCUGAUUAUAUGAUAUAUGUUAUGUAGAUGAAAAAAGGCAGUCCUUGAAGUCUUCUUUAUAUGAGAGUUGAAGGUCAUAUCCUGGUCGAAGGGAACUCUCAGAUUCCUGACAGUGCUGCUGGGUACCAGAGCAAUUCCAUUCAUAAAAACUGUAUCACGUGACAGCUGACUUCAAAGGCGCUCUGGGCCUAUUAAGAUAACUUCUGUUUUUUCUGAGUUUAGCAUCAGGAAGUUGCCGGUCAUCCAAGUUUUGAUGUCUCCAAGACAUUCUUGAAGUCUAACUAGCUGGUCCGUCUCUUCUGGUUUGAUCGACAGAUACAGUUGAGUAUCGUCUGCAUAACAAUGGAAGUGUAUGCAGUGUUUCCUGAUAAGAUCGCCCAGAGGAAGCAUAUAGAGGGUAAAUAAAAUCGGUCC